AGAGUUUGAUCCUGGCUCAGAAUCAACGCUGGCGGCGUGCCUAACACAUGCAAGUCGAACGCGAGAGGGGAGCAAUCCCUGAUCGAGUGGCAAACGGGUGAGUAACACGUGGGUGACCUACCUUCGAGUGGGGGAUAACGUCCCGAAAGGGACGCUAAUACCGCAUGACAUCCUGCUUUUGGAAAAGCGGACAUUAAAGCUGGGGAUCGCAAGACCUGGCGCUUGAAGAGGGGCCCGCGCCUGAUUAGCUAGUUGGUGGGGUAACGGCUCACCAAGGCUACGAUCAGUAUCCGGCCUGAGAGGGCGGACGGACACACUGGGACUGAGACACGGCCCAGACUCCUACGGGAGGCAGCAGUGGGGAAUUGUUCGCAAUGGGCGCAAGCCUGACGACGCAACGCCGCGUGGAGGACGAAGAUCUUCGGGUCGUAAACUCCUGUCGAGCGGGAAGAACGCUUCCCGGGUAAAUAUCCUGGGAAAUUGACGGUACCGCUAAGGAAGCCCCGGCUAACUCCGUGCCAGCAGCCGCGGUA
RNAcentral lists this ribosomal RNA (533 nucleotides) under uncultured Acidobacteriota bacterium. RNAcentral's name for it is "bacterial SSU rRNA". It matches the Rfam family "Bacterial small subunit ribosomal RNA", at positions 8 to 522 of the family's 1533-position model. Lineage: Bacteria; Pseudomonadati; Acidobacteriota. The record is from RNAcentral.